CCCCCAACAGCUCAACUCCAGUACCCCCCAACAGCCCUCCAACAGCCCAUCCAGUCCUCCAGUACCCCCCAAUAGCCCUCCUCCAGUCCCCCCAACAGCCCAUCUCCAGUCCUCCAGUACCCCCAACAGCCCUCCUCCAGUCCCCCAACAGUCCAACUCCAGUCCUCCAGGUCUCCAGUCCCCCCAACAGCCCAUCUCCAGUCCUCCAGUACCCCCAACAGCCCUCCUCCAGUCCCCCCAACAGUCCAACUCCAGUCCCCCAGUCCUCCAGUCCCCCCAACAGCCCAUCUCCAGUCCUCCAGUACCCCCAACAGCCCUCCUCCAGUCCCCCCAACAGCCCAUCUCCAGUCCUCCAGUACCCCCAACAGCCCUCCUCCAGUCCCCCCAACAGUCCAACUCCAGUCCUCCAGUCCUCCAGUCCCCCCAACAGCCCAUCUCCAGUCCUCCAGUACCCCCAACAGCCCAUCUCCAGUCCUCCAGUACCCCCCAACAGCCCAUCUCCAGUCCUCCAGUACCCCCAACAGCCCAUCUCCAGUCCUCCAGUACCCCCAACAGCCCAUCUCCAGUCCUCCAGUACCCCCAACAGCCCAUCCAGUCCUCCAGUACCCCCCAACAGCCCAUCUCCAGUCCUCCAGUACCCCCCAACAGCCCAUCUCCAGUCCUCCAGUACCCCCAACAGCCCAUCUCCAGUCCUCCAGUACCCCCAACAGCCCAUCCAGUCUUCCAGUGAUGGAAUAGGACGUAUACACCGGCAUAAAUAAAGUUACUCCUCACCAACUGCAACUUGACGUCGGAACCAAAGCAUUGUGGGAGACUACCUUCUUCUGUUUGUUUUUUUGGAAGCCAAAGGCACUACAUGCUCCUAAAUGGUUGAUGUCGCCACCUAUCAUUGGUUAUUAUCCACCUAUCAUUGGUUAUUAUCCACCUAUCAUUGGUUAUUAUCCACCUAUCAUUGGUUAACAUCCACCUAUCAUUGGUUAUUAUCCACCUAUCAUUGGUUAUUAUCCACCUAUCAUUGGUUAUUAUCCACCUAUCGACAACUGCACCCUCGACAACUACUAUGAUUAUUAUUAUUUGACCAUGCUGGUCAUUUAUGAACAUUUUAACAUUUUAACAUCUUGACCAUGUUCUGUUAUAAUAUCCACC
This 1146-nucleotide long non-coding RNA is filed under the name Salmo salar (Atlantic salmon). RNAcentral's name for it is "lncRNA (ENSSSAG00000111683.1)". The record is from RNAcentral. Lineage: Eukaryota; Metazoa; Chordata; Actinopteri; Salmoniformes; Salmonidae.